CGCGCAGGCGGCCAGGUCAGUCGAAUGUGAAAGCCCCCGGCUCAACUGGGGAAGGUCGUUCGAUACUGCCUGGCUUGAAGAUAGGAGAGGGAAGUGGAAUUUCAGGUGUAGUGGCGAAAUGCGUAGAUAUCUGAAGGAACACCAGUGGCGAAGGCGACUUUCUGGCCUAUUCUUGACGCUGAGGCGCGAAAGCUAGGGGAGCGAACG
Molecule: ribosomal RNA, 207 nt
Filed under: uncultured bacterium
Lineage: Bacteria
Description: partial 16S ribosomal RNA
Rfam family: Bacterial small subunit ribosomal RNA
Source: RNAcentral